This 253-nucleotide ribosomal RNA is filed under the name uncultured bacterium. RNAcentral's name for it is "partial 16S ribosomal RNA". It matches the Rfam family "Bacterial small subunit ribosomal RNA", at positions 524 to 776 of the family's 1533-position model. The record is from RNAcentral.
UACGGAGGGUGCAAGCGUUAAUCGGAAUUACUGGGCGUAAAGCGUGCGCAGGCGGUUUGUUAAGUCUGCUGUGAAAUCCCCGAGCUCAACUUGGGAAUUGCAGUGGAUACUGGCAGGCCGGAGUAUGGUAGAGGAAGGUGGAAUUCCUGGUGUAGCGGUGAAAUGCGCAGAUAUCAGGAAGAACACCCGUGGCUAAGGCGGCUCUCUAGUACGGUACUGACGCUGAGACGCGAAAGCGUGGGGAGCGAACAGG